This 776-nucleotide ribosomal RNA is filed under the name uncultured Neocallimastigales. RNAcentral's name for it is "partial large subunit ribosomal RNA". It matches the Rfam family "Eukaryotic large subunit ribosomal RNA", at positions 24 to 644 of the family's 3401-position model. Lineage: Eukaryota; Fungi; Neocallimastigomycota; Neocallimastigomycetes; Neocallimastigales. The record is from RNAcentral.
UAUCUCUGUAGAGUCUGCAUAUCAAUAAGCGGAGGAAAAGAAACUAACUAGGAUUCCCUCAGUUAACGGCGAGUGAAGCGGGAAGAGCUCAAAUUUGAAAUCUUCAAGGUUCUACCUUGACGAAUUGUAGUUUAAAGAAGUGUUUUCUGUUGGAGUUUUGGUAAAAGUUCUUUGGAAUAGGACAUCAUAGAGGGUGAGAAUCCCGUAUUUGACCAUUAUCUUCCAGCUUUGUGAUACACUUUCAAAGAGUCGGAUUGUUUGGGAAUGCAGUCCAAAAUGGGUGGUAAAUUUCAUCUAAAGCUAAAUAUUGGCGAGAGACCGAUAGCGAACAAGUACCGUGAGGGAAAGAUGAAAAGAACUUUGAAAAGAGAGUUAAACAGUACGUGAAAUUGUCAAAAGGGAAGCGUUUGACACCAGUGUUGUUUUCUCGAAAAUCAAUUAAAAAUGGCCGGAUUUUGUGUUGUAUUGACUUUAUCAGCUUUCUGCACUAUUUUCUUGUCUUUUUUAAUGCACUUUUCGUUUAACAAGUCAACAUCAAUUUCUUUUGUUGUAAAAGAGUCAUUGGAAGGUGGCUUCCACUUCGGUGAAAGUGUUUAUAGCCUUUGGCUUCUGCAAUCGGAGAGAUUGAGGUCUGCAGCGUAGAUCCUUCGGGGUUAGAUACAUUUGUGCUAAGUUAUAGCCUUUCAUAGACAACUUGUUGACUAUGAUCAGUCAUGUAGCUUACUCGCUUAUGCUAUUUUACCUACGCUUAGGAUGUUGAUGUGAUACUGCGAGCA